ACUGCAGGCAGACAUGAAUGAAGAAAGUGCAUCUGAACAGGUUUGGGGAAAACGAGGCCUCUGAACCGGAGCAGGAGGUCUACAAAAGCAGACAAGGCCUCCUUCAAAUGCACGGCCUGUCAGCUCCUCACGACUCUGCUUGAAGCUGUAGUGCU
RNAcentral lists this long non-coding RNA (155 nucleotides) under Struthio camelus australis. Its description in RNAcentral is "lncRNA (ENSSCUG00000007205.1)". Lineage: Eukaryota; Metazoa; Chordata; Aves; Struthioniformes; Struthionidae. The record is from RNAcentral.